UACGUAGGGUGCAAGCGUUAAUCGGAAUUACUGGGCGUAAAGCGUGCGCAGGCGGCUUUGCAAGACAGAUGUGAAAUCCCCGGGCUCAACCUGGGAACUGCAUUUGUGACUGCAAGGCUGGAGUGCGGCAGAGGGGGAUGGAAUUCCGCGUGUAGCAGUGAAAUGCGUAGAUAUGCGGAGGAACACCGAUGGCGAAGGCAAUCCCCUGGGCCUGCACUGACGCUCAUGCACGAAAGCGUGGGGAGCAAACAGGAUUAGAACGUA
RNAcentral lists this ribosomal RNA (264 nucleotides) under uncultured bacterium. RNAcentral's name for it is "partial 16S ribosomal RNA". It matches the Rfam family "Bacterial small subunit ribosomal RNA", at positions 524 to 784 of the family's 1533-position model. The record is from RNAcentral.